RNAcentral lists this long non-coding RNA (294 nucleotides) under Gossypium raimondii (Peruvian cotton). Its description in RNAcentral is "long non-coding RNA (GRAI_LNC008823)". The record is from RNAcentral. Lineage: Eukaryota; Viridiplantae; Streptophyta; Magnoliopsida; Malvales; Malvaceae.
UGGAGUGGGGAGGAACAAUGGGCAAAUAACAUGCUUGCCAUUCCAAACACCAUGCCAGAACAGGGAUGAGUACUUGUUUUGGGAUGCAUUUCAUCCAAGUGAGGCUGCCAAUGUGAUCAUUGGGAGGAGAUCCUACAGCGCUCAAUCUCCUACCGAUGCUUACCCCAUUGAUAUCCGCCGUCUUGCUCAGCUCUGAAACUGAAAGUCGACGAGGUUUUUUAUGGGAAUUUAUAGAUAAUUAAUUGAAUCGUUGUAGAAUUCUUUCUAUAUUUGUGUCGUUUUGAAUUGUGUAAC